Long non-coding RNA from Nycticebus coucang (slow loris), 5074 nucleotides. RefSeq lists it as uncharacterized. NCBI's taxonomy places the organism in Eukaryota, Metazoa, Chordata, Mammalia, Primates, Lorisidae. The transcript has 3 exons. The record is from RefSeq and is a predicted model, not a curated record.
UCCAUUAUAGUGGAAUCCCCAGGAGCCCAAGCUCGAGCUUGCAAUAAAACAGCUCUUUUGCUUUUUGUAUGGGAAUCGGUUCCCUGGUGGUCUUUGGGGACUUUGUGAUCUGGGCAUAACAUCUGGGGGCUCGUCUGGGAUCCCCCAAGACCCCCUGAAGACCCCCGACCCGAAGAGCCAAUAAGUGGUUAAGGACAUGGUUUACCAUCCACAGACCGGUCACCCCAACCAGGUUCCGUACAUUACCAUUGGAUUGACCUGGUGGAGGAUCCCCCUCCAUGGCUAAAGGCUCUUUUGCCUCCAGCAGAUGAUGUCUGCAACAGUGCAGCAGUUCUUGCAGUGCACGAGAAGCCCCUCACUGAGAAAUCCACUAAAUUCACCAAACCCAAACCCUCUGUCCCACUUUAUCCUGUGUUACAGGACAGCAUGGACCAAGAUUUCUUUUGUCCUCCUCUGUAUCGUCCUCCUGCCCCUCCACAGGUUGCCUCUCCAUCUCCUGGAGAGGCGGCGGCCGGGCCCGCUGCUGAAGUUGAGACUGCAGUCAGACCUGGCGCUGGGAGUCCACCGUACACAAGACAGCGGGCCCAGCGAGAGGUGAAUGCUGACUCAACCAUCCUUCCUCUGAGGGCUGCAAGCCCCCCAGAUGUGUAUGGGGUGCAAGAUCUUUAUUAUUAGCCCUUUGCCACAGUGAUUUGUAUAACUGGAAAAUGCAAAACCCUACAUUCUCUGAAAAGCCUAGUGUCUUAGUUAAUCUCUUAGAUUCUUUUCUCUUUACUCAUCAGCCUACCUGGAAUGAUUGUCAGCAGCUUUUACAGGUGCUCUUCACUACAGAAGAGAGGGAGAGAAUACUGUUGGAGGUUCAGAAGUCGGUUGUGGGUGCAAACGGAGCUGUGACUACUAAUCCUGCUGAGAUUAACACUGUCUUCCCCCUUACCCGCCCUGAUUGGGAUUUUCACACAGGGGAUGGUCAGACAAGUCUCCAAGUCUACUGCCAGACUCUAAUGAGGGGUCUCUAGAAAGCGGCCCGUAGGCCGUCUAAUUUGGCUAAGGUAGGUAACAUGCAGCAGGAAAAGAAUGAGUCUCCCUCUGCCUUCCUAGAAAGGAUCAUGGAAGCAUUCCGUACUUAUACUCCCAUGAAUCCUGAGGAAGACAGUAGCAAAGCUGUGGUUAUUAUGGCUUUUGUUAACCAAUCUGCCCCUGAUAUAUGAAAGAAACUUCAGAAAGUAGAUAGGUUGGCUGAGAAAAACUUACAAGAUUUGCUUGCAGUGGCCGAGAAGGUUUAUAAUAACAGAGAGACACCAGAGGAAAAACAGACCCGCGCUCAGACCAAACAAACUCAAGAUCUGGCUAAAAUCCUGCUGGCCACCACAGCUGCCAAGCCAAAGGAUCGGGCAGGCACGACUAAAGCGACUAACCGCUGAAGGUGAGGAGAAACCCUUGGAGGAGGAACGCAGAUGCUUACAGAGGGACCAGUGCGCCUACUGCAAGGAGAUAGGGCACUGGCCAGAGAAUGUCCCAAGCAGAGAGCCAACAAGCCCACCCCCCAUGGUGAAACUCACAUUUUGGAAACGGGGGAAUUAAGUGAUUAGAGAGGUCAGGGUUCAGCACCCCUCCCUGAACCCAGGGUAACCCUCAAAGUGGAGAGGACACCGAUUAAUUUCCUUGUGGACACUAGUGCCCAGCAUUCAGUGCUUUUAAGAGAUCAAGGUAAACUAGAUACAAGAAAAUCUUGGGUCCACGGGGCAGCUGGGAUGAAGCAAUGCUCAUGGACUACCCAAAGAACUGUAGACCUGGGCACAGGCCGGGUAUCCCAUGCAUUUAUGGUUAUCCAAGACUACCCAUACCCCUUACUUGGGAAAGAUUUAUUAACCAAGAUCGGGGCUCAGGUAUCUUUCAAGCAGGAUGGCCCCCAGGUUACAGUGCGUAUUGGGAAGUGGACUUCACAGAAGUCAAACCAGCAGGUACAGAAAGAGUGUUGGCGCCGCCUGUGGGCUACUUACGUGGCUGGUUCCGUACCUGAGUCCCACAAGUUCUGGCCUGGCGAUUGGGUUUACGUAAAGAGGCAUCCCCGAGAGACUUUGGAACCCCGGUGGAAGGGCCCAUAUGUCAUGAUCCUGGCAACACCCACCGCUCUCAAAGUAGACUUCAUCGCUUCCUGGGUACACCACACCCACGUAAAACUUGCAGACCCGUUCACCAUUCAGGAAGACUUCAUCCCACAAUGGAGAAUCCAGCAGGCUGAAGGCAACCCUUUAAAACUCAAACUAAAGUGUUCCCCACCUACUUGCUGCUAAUAUUGGUUGUAUGUACCCCUUUGAGUGCCUCCCCUUACCCUAAUCCUCAUCAGCCAUAUAAUGUCGCCUGGUAUGUCUAUGGGGGACCCGUGCGGGGGAUGUUUGGGGGCACCUUCAUCUGGCCUGCUGACUGGUCGUUGUUAAAUUCUACUUAGGGUAUCCAUCCUAAGAACACCUGGUACCCAGAUUUAUAUAGAGAUCUAGACCAAGUAGUGGGUCUCAUGCAGAGCACCUGGAGCCCCUGACACAGCUUACAUUAUGUGUACCCAGGUCACAAAACAGACAAGUGUGGGGGGCACACUUUCUGUCAACAUUGGAGCUGUGUAUCCACAGGCCAAAUCUGGUGGACACCACCAAACACCCCGGAUUUAAUUGAGGUAAAAAGAAGCCCCAGGGGCGGCGCCUAUGGCUCAGUUGGUAGGGCGCCAGCCCCAUAUAACGAGGGUGGUGGGUUCAAACCCGGCCCUGACCAAACUGCAACCAAAAAAUAGCCGGGCGUUGUGGCGGGCGCCUGUAGUCCCAGCUACUCGGGAGGCUGAGGCAAGAGAAUCGCUUGAGUAGUUGGAGGUAGUUGGAGGUUGCUGUGAGCUGUGUGAGGCCAUGGCACUCUACCGAAGGCCAUAAAGUGAGACUCUGUCUCUACAAAAAAAAAAAAAAGCCCCGGUCCUUGGUCACAUACAAUUGGCAGGGACAAUUGCCAUCUGCCAUCGUACAGGGCUCCUCGGAGAAGUAAGACUAUGUGACCCAGUGCGCAUUCGGUUCACUGGCCUGGGGAAAAAUUGUUUCACCACUUGGGAAUUUGGAAAAAUAUGGGGACUCCAUAUAUACAGCUCUGCCUGAUGGGGUACGGACUUUGCUGUACAUGACAAGGGGGGAUUCAUUAAGAUAAAAGUAGAAUACAGCCCGGUUCCUGACAAACCCACCCAAGUUGGACCUAAUAGUAUCCUCCCUUACCCAGCAAGUACUCAAGUAUUCUCCAAAUCAAUAACUUGUGCCCCUGUGACGUCCCCAUUGCCAUCCAAUUCCAGUAAAAGUCAAUUUUCAUACCCGGACCCCACAUGGGAACUGCUCAUCAAGUACUGACUUUAACCCAGCCAGACUUAACUGCAGCCUGCUGUCUCUGUCUUAGUGUAAAACCCCCUUAUUAUGAAGCUGUUGCCAUUGUAGGGCAAUACACUUCUGGAGAAGCCAUAGCCUGCCGAUGGCAUCAAAGUCACCUUAGACUCAUUGUUCAGACAGUGGUGGGAAAGGGCUUGUGUGUUGGAAAGGUGCCCAUUUCCCACCAGCAUCUGUGUAAUGCUACUGUCCCAUGGAAUGGAACUGGGUAUCUGAUACCCUCAAAUGAUACCCAGUGGGCUUGCUCAACAGGUUUGGCUCCAUGCAUACAUGCAGGGAUCUUAGACCAGAAUAAUGAUUAUUGUGUUCUAGUACAGCCAUAUCAACAAUAAUCUAUCACGAAGAAAGUACAAUACUCAGAGAUUCUUGGGCACCUUGAGCCCAGCCCCAUGCAGAAAGCGGGAGGUAAUUAUGGCUCUCACUAUCGCGACCUUAUUAGGACUAGGGCUAGCUGGGGCCGGGACUGGAGUGUCUGCCUUAGUCCUCCAGGAUAAAAACUACGGUGCUCUCCGGGAUGCAAUUGAGCUGAAUAUUCAGCAAUUAGAAAAAUCUAUUACUCUCCUCCAAGAAUCCUUAACUUCCCUUCCGAAGUAGUCUUACAGAACCAGAGGGGAUUGGACUUGCUGUUCCUCCAGCAAGAUGGGCUGUGUACCGCCCUAGGGGAGGAAUGUUGUUUCUACGCUGAUCAUUCAGGGGUUGUGAAAGGAUCUAUGGCUCUUGUCUGAGAAAGCCUGCGCCAGCACAAAAUAGACAAAGAAAAUAGUCAGAGCUGGUAUGAAUCCCUGUUCAAUUGGCCCCCUGGUCAACAAUGCUAAUAUCAGCAUUAGCUGGGCCUCUGACAAUAUUACUGUUACUCUAACCAUAGGCCCCUGUAUUGUCAACAGGCUCAUAACAUUUGUGAGAGAACAUGUAGGUGCAGUACAAUUGUUAGUUCUCUCUCUCUUUUUUUUUUUUUAUAAUAUAUCAUUACUAUAUUUUAUUUUAUUUUAUUUUAUUGCAGUUUUUGGCCAGGGCUGGGUUUGAACCCGCCACCUCUGGCAUAUGGGGCCGGUGCCCUACCCCUUUGAGCCACAGUUCUCAAAGGCUAAUAUUGGCCCUUAGCAGAACAAGAAAUGAUGGAGACGCAGAUGUCGGCCCCUUAGCAGAACAGGAAAUGAUGGAGACGCAGUCAAUUUACAAGUAGAGGAGGGAAUGAGAGAACCAGACUAAUACCAUUUUGAGAGUUCAGCCAUUUCGUCAGCCAUUUUGUUCAAAACUGAUGAGUCACCGUGAGUCACCGGUUUUCCAGCUUGAGUCAUCGGCCUCCAAUCAGAAACUGCCUUCUGGAGUGGGCCAUAUGGCAGGACCAGUGGCAGCCAAUCCAGAAGCAGUCCCUUUGUUUAAAAUGUAUAUGCCCACUUUGCUGUGCUACACUAUAAAAUAGCCCUGUGACAGAGCUCGGGGCUCCUGGCUUGGAUCUGUUGUAGCAGAGUCCCCGGGAGCCCAAGCUUGACCUUGCAAUAAAACGGCUCUUUUGCUUUUGCAUGGGAAUCGGCUCCCUGGUGGUCUUUGGGGACUUUGUGAUCUGGGCAUAACAUUUCCAUGGUGUACAUAUACCACAAUUUAUUAAUCCAUUUGUGGAUUGAUGGGCCCUUGGGCUUUUUCCAUGACUUAGCAAUUAUGAA